RNAcentral lists this long non-coding RNA (218 nucleotides) under Cicer arietinum (chickpea). RNAcentral describes it as "long non-coding RNA (CARI_LNC002036)". Lineage: Eukaryota; Viridiplantae; Streptophyta; Magnoliopsida; Fabales; Fabaceae. The record is from RNAcentral.
AAAUGCCAAUGUAAUAUAAUGUAGUAAAGAAUACUAACUACAUAAGAUAUAUGAACUAGCAGUAUUCAUCAUACUCGUAUUCUCAUAACUUGCAUCAUCAUCAGAUACAGACUUAAUUAACACAACAAAUUUCAAAUAAAGAAUAACACGUGACCAGCAAUCAAUGCUACAACAUCCAAAUGCAUCAUUGACUCAAACAAUUCAUUCAAUCACUAAUU